This 301-nucleotide ribosomal RNA is filed under the name uncultured bacterium. RNAcentral's name for it is "partial 16S ribosomal RNA". It matches the Rfam family "Bacterial small subunit ribosomal RNA", at positions 509 to 807 of the family's 1533-position model. The record is from RNAcentral.
CAGUAGCCGCGGUAAUACGAAGGGGGCUAGCGUUGUUCGGAUUUACUGGGCGUAAAGGGCGCGUAGGCGGACUGAUAAGUCAGGGGUGAAAUCCCAAGGCUCAACCUUGGAACUGCCUUUGAUACUGAAGAUCUUGAGUUCGGGAGAGGUGAGUGGAACUGCGAGUGUAGAGGUGAAAUUCGUAGAUAUUCGCAAGAACACCAGUGGCGAAGGCGGCUCACUGGCCCGAUACUGACGCUGAGGCGCGAAAGCGUGGGGAGCAAACAGGAUUAGAUACCCCAGUAGUCCCUGUCUCUUAUAC